RNAcentral lists this ribosomal RNA (194 nucleotides) under Euseius finlandicus. RNAcentral's name for it is "5.8S ribosomal RNA". The stretch from base 1 to 155 matches the Rfam family "5.8S ribosomal RNA". Rfam says of the family: 5.8S ribosomal RNA (5.8S rRNA) is a component of the large subunit of the eukaryotic ribosome. It is transcribed by RNA polymerase I as part of the 45S precursor that also contains 18S and 28S rRNA. The record is from RNAcentral. Lineage: Eukaryota; Metazoa; Arthropoda; Arachnida; Mesostigmata; Phytoseiidae.
CUCAAUAUGGGGGAUCACUUAGUCCUUAAAUCGAUGAAAAACAUAGUAAUUUGUGGAAAUUGAUGUGAGUUGUGAAAUUUUGUGAGCAUUGUGUUUUUGAAUGAAAAUUUCAGCACGGACACUUCUGUAUCUGUGCUACAUUUGUUUCAGUAUAUAAACCGAAUCAUAAGUAUUUACCUUUGCUGCAGCCCUCG